Molecule: long non-coding RNA, 2696 nt
Organism: Gallus gallus (chicken)
Lineage: Eukaryota; Metazoa; Chordata; Aves; Galliformes; Phasianidae
Exons: 2
Source: RefSeq, a predicted model, not a curated record
CCCUCUUCUCGUCUCGCCGUGUUCCCUGUCGGAUCAGCUCGCUACUGCUGCGCCCGACUGCACACAAGGCUUCAGUAUUAGCGUGAAAGAACCUAAACAAAGUUCUUGGUCUGUAACUCCCUCAUCUACAGAUGGUGAUCAAAAGUGAAGAUUCCAUAAUCUAAACAGUAUGAUAAUUAUUAAAUAUUCUGUUAGCAACAGAUUUACCAAGUGAAUAUGAAGUCUUAACAUUCAGAAUGCUGUAAUCCAAGUUACUUCUGAUGUUGCACAUAUCAUAGUACUUCUUAUUUCAUUACUUUAUUGUGUUUCAUGUUAGAGAUUGCUAUAUACCACCUUUACACAGAUACAAAUGUAUUAUAUAUUUUUAAGGUAGGCACUUCUCUAAAUUGAAAUAAUACUGCAUGGAUUUUCAGUCCAAUUGAAUUGUUUGGUUUGUUAUGAUGUAUAUGAGAACUUUCAAAAAGCUAGGUGAUUUUAGUUUAACUUGAUCAUACUGUGCAAUGUUUUGCUUUACUUGCAUGACAUGAUUACUACAUUACAACGACCUGCUUUGAAUUAAGAUAGUAGUUAGAAUUAAGAUGUAUCUGAGCCACUUCAACAAACAGCAGAAACAAACAACUCAGCCUCAUAUUCACUACAAAGAUUUGAGUCUAUUAUCUCUACCCUAAAUCAGUGUGUCAUAUACUGAUCACAGUGACUAUGACCAUAGUCUAAUACUGGUAGGUGCUUGCAAAAUUCCAUGGAACUUAAAUCUACCCUAGAACUCUUUAUCAAUUUAAAAAAGUCUUGUCUUGAAAUAACACUUGAUUAAGCUUCUAAUACUUAUUUACGUACAUAUGAGCAAAGAUUUGUUCUUUAUUUUGACUCACAGAAUGGUACUACCAAGGAUGAGGAAAAGGCUGAGGUACUUAUGUCUUCUUUGCUUCUAUCUUUAAUAGUUUGACAAGUUAUCCUCAGUACUCUGUCCCCUGAGCUGGAAGAGAGGAAUGGGAAGCAGGAUAAAUCCCCAAUAAUUUAGGAGGAACUAGUGACCUGCUACUCCACCUAUACUAUCAUAAGUCUAUGGAGCCUGAUGGGAUUCACUUCAGACUACUGAGGAAUCUGAUAGAAGUUAUUCCCAAACCACUUUCCAUCCUUUAUCAACAGCAACUGGGGAUGUCCCAGAUGAAAUGAAACUUGCUGAUCUGAUGUUUGUCCACAAGGAGGGACAGAAGGAUGAUCCACAGAACUACAGGCCUCUCAGUCUGAACUUGAUAUACCAGAAGGUGAUGGAGCAGAUUAUCCUGAGUGUGAUUACAUGGGAUAUGAGGGACACCUAGGGCAUCAAGGCUAGCCAGAAUGGGUUCUUGAAAAACAGGUCCUGCUUGAUCAAUCUGAUCUCCUUCUGUGACCAUGUGACACACCCAGUAGAUCAGGGAAAAGUUGUGAUUGUAAUCGACCUAGAUUUUAGUAAUGCCUUUUACACUGUCUCCCACAGAAUUCUCCUGAAGAAAUUGGUAGCCCAUGGACUGGACAGGUUUACCUUAGUCUGGGUAAAAAAAUGGCUGGAUGGCAGGGUCCAGAGAGUGGUGGUAAAUGGAUUUAAAACCACUUCUCAUCUGUCCAGUCACUAAUGGUGUUCUUCAGGGGUCAGUGUUAAGGCCAGUCCUGUUUAAUGUCUUAACUGAUAAUCUGGACAAGGUAUUGAGUGCACCCUCAAUAAGUUUGCCAACUGGGAGGAAGUGUUCAUGUGCCUGAAGAUAGGGAGGCCCUGUUGAGAAUUCUGGAUAGCGUAGAUCACUGGGCAGAGGCCAGUAGUAUGAGCAUCAGCAAGAUGAAGUGCAAGAUCACUUCAGUCACAACCAUACCCAAUGCUACAGGCUCAGAGACUGGCUGGAAAGCUGCACAGAGGAAAAGGAUCUGGGAUUGGUGCUCCACAGCCAGCUGAACACGAGCCAGUAGUGCACCCAGGUGGCCAAGAUGGCCAAUGGCAUCCUGGUUUGUAUAAGAAACAGCGUAGCCUGGAGGACUAAUGAGGUGAUUGCCCCUUUGUACUUGACACUGGUGAGGCUGGACUGCAAGUACUAUGCUUGGUUUUGGCCCCUCACUACAGCAGAGGCAUUGUGGUGCUGGAACAUAUCCAGUGAAGGGUAACACAGCUAGUGAAGGGUCUGGAACACAAAUUGUAUGAGAAGAGGCUGGAGUAACUGGGAUUGAUUAUUUUGGAGUAGAGGCUAAUGGGAAACGCUAUUGCUCUUUACAAUUGCUGGAAAGGAAGUGGGAUUCAGCCUCUUUUUCACAGAUAACUAGUGAUAAGACAAGAAGUAAUGGCUUCAAGUUGCACCGAGGGAGUUCCAGUUUGGGUAUUAGGAAAAAGUCCUUCUCAGAAAGAGUUGUAGUGUAUUGCAGAAGACUGAUCAAAGGUGUGGUGGAAUCACCAUCACUGGAAGUUUUCAAGAAACACGUAGAUGUGGCACUAAGUAACAGGGUUUGGUGGGCAUGGUGGAGAUAGGUUGAUGACUGGAUUAGAUAAUCCUAGAGGUCUUUUCCAAACUUAAUGUCUCUGUGAUUCUAUGUUUUAUGUUGGAAUAGAUCUCCAGAGGACAUUCGAGAAAACCCUCUGCCAUACCUAAAUAUCUAUCUGAAAUGCACAGCCAAAAGAUCUAUGUAUUGUUUUUCAUUUGUCUAGUUAUCUGUUGAGAAAAUAGUGUACAAAU